Molecule: long non-coding RNA, 876 nt
Filed under: Rattus norvegicus (Norway rat)
Lineage: Eukaryota; Metazoa; Chordata; Mammalia; Rodentia; Muridae
Description: long non-coding RNA NONRATT006815
Source: RNAcentral
AGAAUGAUGAUGCAGGAAUGACAAAGGGAGAUACUGGGGAAUGUCAAGUCAAACAAAUCAUAGCUCUUCUCCGGUGGCUCCUGUGACCUUGUUCUGAGGAGAAGUGAAGGAAAUUCCAGAAGAAAAGCAAGCAGCAUAAAAACGACUUUUUACGGAAAGUUCAACAACCUCCAGAGAGAUCGAGUAUGGCAUGCUGAAGGAGCUGACUUCAUUUAUUAAAUGCACUUCCCGAUGUGUUAAGUAACUCGUUCUUCUAAGUGCACAGGAGAAUUGACACAGCAACAUUAACUUGAUUUAAUUAGCUCAUAAAAUCUGGACUUGCCAAGCUGGUCAACUGAGGCCACUUUUGGGAACCCAGAGGAAGAAGCCUAACCUCUUAGGUUAUUUCCUGGCCUCCCUUCUGUGACCUAUGACCGAAGCUGACCUUUAGCUGGAGAAUGUGACAUUUUGGGUGAUAAAAUAGUGAGUCCUGCACCUGGCCUUCAACAAAGAUGUGUCCUUACCAAGAGCACACUGAAAUGUCUAACUCCUGAAAGAAUGUUUUGCAAGUUUUAGAGUUUGACAAGAUAUGGUGACUCGAGCCUGCAACACCAGGUCUUGGGUGGCCAAGGUGAAAGGAUAGCUUUAAUUUCAGGGCUGACCUGAGCUAGAUAGCAGGGUUCUGUUUCAAAACAAAAGCCGUGUGGAUCCCCCACCAAAGAAAAGCCUCAAUGUAAAUCUGCUUUCAUAAUUUUAAUAACUCUAUCCAAUCAAUUCUGAUGUUCUGUUCAUAGAUGAGUUCUUAGCUUACAUAUAAAAUAUCUUUCCUGUGUCAUUUUUAUGCCUAAUUGGUGUAUAACAUCCACUGAACAUCAAAAUAAAUGUUAUAAGUCAUUG